GCCUUCGUGGUGUAGUGGUCUGCACACUCGAUGCGUAAUCGAGAGGUCCGUGGUUCGAUUCCCGGCGAAGGCG
Molecule: non-coding RNA, 73 nt
Organism: Stegodyphus mimosarum
Lineage: Eukaryota; Metazoa; Arthropoda; Arachnida; Araneae; Eresidae
Source: Rfam